UUCGCAAUGCCCGAAAGGGUGACGAAGCGACGCCGCGUGUGGGAAGAAGGCCUUCGGGUUGUAAACCACUGUCGGGAAUUAAGAAAUGCAAGGAUAUUAAUAGUGUCUUUGUUUGACUAAGGCUCCGGAGGAAGCCACGGCUAACUCUGUGCCAGCAGCCGCGGUAAUACAGAGGCGGCAAGCGUUGUUCGGAAUUAUUGGGCGUAAAGAGCACGUAGGCGGCUAUGUAAGUCGGUUGUGAAAGCCUUCCGCUCAACGGAAGAACAGCGUCCGAUACUACAUGGCUUGAGUGCGGGAGGGGAGAGUGGAACUUCUGGUGGAGCGGUGAAAUGCGUAGAUAUCAGAAGGAACGCCGGCGGCGAAAGCGGCUCUCUGGCCCAUAACUGACGCUGAGUGUGCGAAAGCUAGGGGAGCAAACGGGAUUAGAUACCCCGGUAGUCCUAGCCGUAAACGAUGGGCACUAAGUAGAGGGGUUUU
RNAcentral lists this ribosomal RNA (477 nucleotides) under uncultured bacterium. RNAcentral describes it as "bacterial SSU rRNA". It matches the Rfam family "Bacterial small subunit ribosomal RNA", at positions 365 to 832 of the family's 1533-position model. The record is from RNAcentral.